AACGAACGCUGGCGGCAUGCCUAACACAUGCAAGUCGAACGAGACCUUCGGGGCUAGUGGCGCACGGGUGCGUAACGCGUGGGAACCUGCCCUUAGGUUCGGAAUAACUCCCCGAAAGGGGUGCUCAUACAGGAUAGUGUCUUAGGACAAAAGAUUUAUCGCCUUUGGAUGGGCCCGCGUUAGAUUCGCUAGUUGGUAGGGUAAAAGCCUACCAAGGCGACGUUCCAUAGCUGGUCUGAGAGCAUGAUCAGCCACACUGGGACUGAGACACGGCCCAGACUCCUACGGAAGGGAGCAGUGGGGAAUAUUGGACGAUGGGCGAUAGCCUGAUCCAGCCAUGCCGCGUGAGUGAUGAUGGCGUUAGGAUUGUAAAGCUCUUUGACCCGAGAUGAUAAUGACAGUACCGGGAGAAUAAGCACCGGCUAACUCCGUG
Molecule: ribosomal RNA, 433 nt
Filed under: uncultured bacterium
Lineage: Bacteria
Description: partial 16S ribosomal RNA
Rfam family: Bacterial small subunit ribosomal RNA
Source: RNAcentral